UACAGAGGAGCCAAGCGUUGCCCGGAUUGACUGGGCGUAAAGCGCACGCAGGCGGGUGCGCGCGUGGGGUGUGAAAUCUGGCCGCUUAACGGCCAGGCGCCAUCCCAUACGGCGCAACUGGAGGGCUGCAGAGGUCGAUGGAAUUGCCGGUGUAGUGGUGAAAUGCGUAGAGAUCGGCAGGAACACCCAGGGGGAAACCAGUCGACUGGGCAGCACCUGACGCUGAGGUGCGAGAGCGUGGGGAGCGAACCGG
This 253-nucleotide ribosomal RNA is filed under the name uncultured bacterium. RNAcentral's name for it is "partial 16S ribosomal RNA". It matches the Rfam family "Bacterial small subunit ribosomal RNA", at positions 524 to 776 of the family's 1533-position model. The record is from RNAcentral.